This 72-nucleotide transfer RNA is filed under the name Camelus bactrianus (Bactrian camel). It matches the Rfam family "tRNA". Rfam says of the family: Transfer RNA (tRNA) molecules are approximately 80 nucleotides in length. Lineage: Eukaryota; Metazoa; Chordata; Mammalia; Artiodactyla; Camelidae. The record is from Rfam by way of RNAcentral. RNAcentral also lists the same sequence under 2 other names.
GAGGGUAUAGCUCAGUAGUAGAAUGCAUGCUUAGCAUGCACGAGAUCCUAGGUUCAAUCCUUAGUACCUCCA